CUCUCUCCCUUACUCUCGUUUCCAUGCGCCAGCGAAAGCACGCACCCGACGCGUCAGCAACGCCAGUACUCCUGGACCCGAAUGUAGACUUGAGCGAGGAGUGGCGGGCGAUGAACGCCGAAUAUGACGGGUACAACAGCGAACAGCCGCCGCGCACGCUGAGCGAAUUCCGCGAGCAACUGCAGCAAGCCAGGCAAGCCAGAAGCAAACGCAGCCUCGAGUCGGAGGGGGAGGAGGACGCCUUCUACCGCACUGUUGACGGAAACCCCAAGGACUAUGCUCUCCGUGUCGUUUUUGAGUUUCUCUGCCCGGCGAACCCGACCAAGGCGCGCCUGCGUGUGGAACGCAUCUACUGGAUCGCAUGGAAGCAGUUCCUGUACGGUUUUUUCAUGUCCGGUGUGGGCACAAUGCUGAUGCUGGUGGGCAUCGGGUGUACGGCACAGUAUUGCGUAGAAAAAGCGCGUGGUGCGGGGGUGAUGCUAGGGGCUUUUCUGCUGUGCGUUCCCGGUUACUACUCCCUGUUCGUCUUGUACAUGUACGUCACGUGUCGCGGUGGGUAUACCUAUUUGCAGCUACCGGAGGCGUGAGAACGGCAAGUGACGGGAAAAGAGCGGGCCCGUGGUCUUGCCCGCCCUCUUUUUGUCUCGUUGCCCCGACGCAAGUGCAAAGCGUGUGCCACGGGAGACACGGACUCUGCUGCUGCGUGCCGCCUUGUCUUGUCGAACCCACAUCUGGGGAGACAGAGGCGCGCUCUGACUCAGUUCUUCAAGAAAAAGAGAAUGAUGAAGAACGCGAUGAAAGUGGCACGAGUCCACGGUCGCAUGCUCUACUACGGAGAAGACGUGACGUUGGUGCUGAACUGCGCUCUCGCGCGCAGUGUGUGUGUGUGUGUGUGUGUGUGUACGCAGCAGCAGCGCGAGUGAGAUGCCUGCGACGCAUAUGUGUGCUGAUGGCUUUCUUGUUAUUCACCGUCCGUGCUCGCGCCUCCCGUUGAGGGAAUCGCGCAUACCUCACUUACCGGCUAACGGGAGCUCGUCACACGCCCUCGCCUUCGACCAUUCCCUCUUUUUCGGUGGCUACGCCUGUUUGCCUGCUAUCCUCCUUUCUCUCUAUUUGCCCACUCGCUGCCUUUCCCCCUCCCCCAACUUGGCUCUCUUUGCUCGUACCCCCGCCUCCCUCAAAACUGUGUAG
This 1191-nucleotide unclassified non-coding RNA is filed under the name Leishmania donovani. Its description in RNAcentral is "gene:LdHU3.30.3730(CDS-product:Eukaryotic_protein _of_unknown_function_(DUF872)_putative)". The record is from RNAcentral. Lineage: Eukaryota; Euglenozoa; Kinetoplastea; Trypanosomatida; Trypanosomatidae.